AUAUAUCCAGACACAAGAUUUUG
RNAcentral lists this small nuclear RNA (23 nucleotides) under Arabidopsis thaliana (thale cress). RNAcentral's name for it is "snRNA_04889". Lineage: Eukaryota; Viridiplantae; Streptophyta; Magnoliopsida; Brassicales; Brassicaceae. The record is from RNAcentral.